UAGCUGGCGGCUGCGGCGGCGGAGCUGCGGGGCCGGGAGCCGGCGCGGGGCUCUGGGUAAGCGAAGCGCCGCGCAGUGCUGAGCCCGCCGCCCGCCGGGAGCCAUGGAAAUCGGCACCGAGAUCAGCCGCAAGAUCCGGAGUGCCAUUAAGGGGAAAUUGCAAGAAUUAGGAGCUUAUGUUGAUGAAGAACUUCCUGAUUACAUUAUGGUGAUGGUGGCCAACAAGAAAAGUCAGGACCAAAUGACAGAGGACCUGUCCCUGUUUCUAGGGAACAACACAAUUCGAUUCACCGUAUGGCUUCAUGGUGUGUUAGAUAAACUUCGCUCUGUUACAACUGACCCUUCCAGUCUUAAGUCUUCUGAUACUAACAUCUUUGAUAAUAACGUGUCUUCAAACAAGAGCUGUUUCAGUCGGGGAGAUGAGAGAAGGCAUGAAGCUGCAGUGCCACCUCUUGCGGUUGCUAGCAGUAGACCUGAAAAAAGAGAUUCCAGGGUUUCUACUAGUUCACAGGAGCAAAAAACCACUACUGUCAGACAGACUUAUGAUGAUGGAGCUGCAACCCGAUUAAUGUCAACUGUGAAGCCUCUGAGGGAGCCAGCACCCUCUGAAGAUGUGAUUGAUAUUAAGCCAGAACCAGAUGAUCUCAUUGAUGAAGACCUCAAUUUUGUGCAGGAGAAUCCUUUAUCUCAGAAAAAACCUACAGUGACACUUGCAUAUGGUUCUUCUCGCCCUUCUAUUGAAAUUUAUCGACCACCUGCAAGUCGAAAUGCAGAUAGUGGUGCUCAUUUAAACAGGUUGCAAUUUCAGCAGCAGCCAAACAGUAUUCAUGCUGCCAAGCAACCUGAUAUACAGAACAGCCGGGUAUAUGAAACAGGACGUUUGUGUGAACCGGAAAUGCUUAACAGCUUGGAAGAGACUUACAGUCCUUUUUUCAGAAACAACUCAGAAAAAAUGAGUAUUGAGGAAGAAAACUUUCGGAAGAGAAAGUUGCCUGUGGUAAGUUCAGUUGUUAAAGUAAAAAAAUUCAAUCAUGAUGGAGAAGAGGAGGAGGAAGAUGAUGACUGUGGGUCUCGUACAGGAAGCAUCUCCAGCAGUGUGUCAGUGCCAGCAAAGCCUGAAAGGAGACCUUCACUUCCACCUUCUAAACAAGCUAACAAGAAUCUAAUUUUGAAGGCUAUAUCUGAAGCUCAAGAAUCUGUAACAAAAACAACUAACUAUUCUACAGUCUCACAGAAACAGACACUUCCAGUUGCUCCCAGAACUCGAACUUCUCAAGAAGAAUUGCUGGCAGAAAUGGUCCAGGGGCAAAGCAGGACCCCCAGAAUAAGUACCCCCAUUAAAGAAGAGGAAACAAAGGGAGAUAAUAUAGAAAAAAGCCAAGGAACUCAGCAGAGGCAGUUGUUAUCCCGACUGCAAAUUGACCCAGUAAUGGCAGAAACUCUACAGAUCGGUCAAGAUUACUAUGACAUGGAAUCCAUGGUCCAUGCAGACACGAGAUCAUUUAUUCUGAAGAAGCCAAAGCUGUCUGAGGAAGUAGUAGUGGCACCAAACCAAGAGUCGGGGAUGAAGACUGCAGAUACCCUUCGGGUACUUUCAGGACACCUUAUGCAGACACGAGAUCUUGUACAACCAGAUAAACCUGCAAGUCCCAAGUUUAUAGUGACGCUGGAUGGUGUCCCCAGCCCCCCAGGAUACAUGUCAGAUCAAGAGGAGGACAUGUGCUUUGAAGGAGUGAAACCUGUAAACCAAACUGCAGCCUCAAACAAGGGACUCAGAGGUCUCCUCCACCCACAGCACUUGCAGUUGAUGAGCAGGCAGCUCGAUGACCCAAAUGGUAGCUUUUCAAAUGCUGAGAUAAGUGAACUGAGUGUGGUCCAGAAACCAGAAAAACUUUUGGAGCGUUGCAAGUACUGGCCUGCCUGUAAAAAUGGGGAUGAGUGUGCUUACCAUCAUCCUGUUUCACCUUGCAAAGCCUUCCCCAAUUGUAAAUUUGCUGAAAAAUGUUUGUUUGUUCAUCCAAAUUGUAAAUAUGAUGCAAAAUGUACUAAACCAGAUUGUCCCUUCACUCAUAUGAGUAGAAGAAUUCCAGUACUGCCUCCAAAACCAGCAGUUGCAACACCAGCCUCACCUUCUAGUAGUCAACUGUGCCGUUAUUUCCCUGCUUGUAAGAAAAUGGAGUGUCCCUUCUAUCAUCCAAAACACUGCAGAUUUAACACUCAGUGUACAAGACCUGACUGCACAUUUUAUCAUCCCACCAUUACUGUGCCACCACGACAUGCCUUGAAAUGGAUUCGACCUCAGACCAGUGAAUGACAGUCCUACUUGGCAGAAGAUUGUGGAGUUUCCAUCUACUGGCAAAAAUAUUCUGCAGAACUUGUCAAACCUUUGAAACUUGGAAUAUAUUGGUUUCAUAAUACGAAGUUUAUUGCCUAUCUGAAGUGUCUAAUUUUUCAAGUUUCUAUAGAGAUGACUUCCGAACAGAAAAGGAUCGACAGCUCAAAAAUGAAAACGUAGUGAUCAUAUAUUACUAACUUUGGAUUUGUUCCUGAAUGUAAAACUGCCAGGAAAAAAAAUGUCCUUUAUAAAAAGAGGUUUACUGAUGCUUAAGUAGCAUUAUCUUCUCCAGUAAAGCUCAUGUGUGUGUUUUCUUAGGGAAAAUAAUGUUUGCCUUUUAAAAACUGUGAUCCUCUAAGGUGAUGGUGUGUUUCCUUUCCUUAUGUAAACACAAGGAUAAAAUAAGUCAUUAAAUAAUGAACCUUGAAAAUAAAAUACAAAUUCUAAAAAAGAAAAACCGUUUUGCUAAAGAGAGGAAGAAAAUUAAGCAACUUGGGUUCUUAAGGUUUUGAUUUUUGAGAGGCGCUGUCCCCUAAGCCUUCCUAGCAGGUCUGCCAAGUUUGCACACUCCCCCAAACUGGGGGGCUGGCUUUCACCGAGUAUUUAUUCAAUCCUUUCUUAGAGUAAUUGUCUGGCAGUGUAUGGAUUAUGGACAGUUAUCCAGUGCAUACAGCAAAUAUUUUGAACUUAUCUGUCUUCUGUUUGGAUGACUCUGGGCAUUUAUCCCUGUUAACAAUCCUAAGUUAGCACCACUUGCCCACGCAAGGUUUGGUUCUGUUUUUGUUUUGUUGUUGUUAGUUUUUCCUCUUCUGUAAUUCUGGUCUCUUCUCAGCAUCCAUAUCUUUCAGUGAGGCAUAUGUACACAUUUCCAGACAAAUAAACUGCAAUCAGAGACCAAAAAAA
Non-coding RNA from Leptonychotes weddellii (Weddell seal), 3238 nucleotides. NCBI's taxonomy places the organism in Eukaryota, Metazoa, Chordata, Mammalia, Carnivora, Phocidae. The record is from RefSeq and is a predicted model, not a curated record.